CACAGAACCAGCUAGGUUGGGAAGGACGUUGAAGAUCAUCUGUCCAACUAUUAACCUAGCACUGACAGUUCCCAACUACACCAUGUGACAAAUAUUUUUAGU
This is a long non-coding RNA of Athene cunicularia (burrowing owl), 102 nucleotides long. RefSeq lists it as uncharacterized. The record is from RefSeq and is a predicted model, not a curated record. NCBI's taxonomy places the organism in Eukaryota, Metazoa, Chordata, Aves, Strigiformes, Strigidae. The transcript is spliced from 3 exons.